GAUGAACGCUGGCGGCGUGCUUAACACAUGCAAGUCGAACGGGAAACCUUUUAUUGAAGCUUCGGCAGAUUUAGCUGGUUUCUAGUGGCGGACGGGUGAGUAACGCGUGGGUACCCUGCCUUAUACAGGGGGAUAACAACCAGAAAUGGUUGCUAAUACCGCAUAAGCGCACAGGACCGCAUGGUCCGGUGUGAAAAACUCCGGUGGUAUAAGAUGGACCCGCGUUGGAUUAGCUAGUUGGCAGGGUAACGGCCUACCAAGGCGACGAUCCAUAGCCGGCCUGAGAGGGUGAACGGCCACAUUGGGACUGAGACACGGCCCAGACUCCUACGGGAGGCAGCAGUGGGGAAUAUUGCACAAUGGGGGAAACCCUGAUGCAGCGACGCCGCGUGAAGGAAGAAGUAUCUCGGUAUGUAAACUUCUAUCAGCAGGGAAGAUAGUGACGGUACCUGACUAAGAAGCCCCGGCUAACUACGUG
RNAcentral lists this ribosomal RNA (478 nucleotides) under uncultured bacterium. RNAcentral describes it as "partial 16S ribosomal RNA". It matches the Rfam family "Bacterial small subunit ribosomal RNA", at positions 28 to 507 of the family's 1533-position model. The record is from RNAcentral.